This 254-nucleotide ribosomal RNA is filed under the name uncultured bacterium. Its description in RNAcentral is "partial 16S ribosomal RNA". It matches the Rfam family "Bacterial small subunit ribosomal RNA", at positions 524 to 777 of the family's 1533-position model. The record is from RNAcentral.
UACGAAGGGGGCUAGCGUUGCUCGGAAUCACUGGGCGUAAAGCGCACGUAGGCGGAUUGCUAAGUCAGGGGUGAAAUCCUGGAGCUCAACUCCAGAACUGCCUUUGAUACUGGCGAUCUUGAGUCCGGGAGAGGUGAGUGGAACUGCGAGUGUGGAGGUGAAAUUCGUAGAUAUUCGCAAGAACACCAGUGGCGAAGGCGGCUCACUGGCCCGGUACUGACGCUGAGGUGCGAAAGCGUGGGGAGCAAACAGGG